UCCACUCAAGUGCCUGCUGCUUUUCAAGGU
RNAcentral lists this non-coding RNA (30 nucleotides) under Mus musculus (house mouse). Lineage: Eukaryota; Metazoa; Chordata; Mammalia; Rodentia; Muridae. The record is from RNAcentral.